GACGAACGCUGGCGGCGCGCCUAACACAUGCAAGUCGAACGAGCGAGAGAGAGCUUGCUUUCUUGAGCGAGUGGCGAACGGGUGAGUAACGCGUGAGGAACCUGCCUCAAAGGGGGGACAACAGUUGGAAACAAACGCUAAUACCGCAUAACGUGAGAAGAGGGCAUCCUCUUUUACCAAAGAUUUAUCGCUGAGAGAUGGGCUCGCGGCCGAUUAGGUAGUUGGUGAGACAACAGCCCACCAAGCCGACGAUCGGUAGCCGGACUGAGAGGUUGAUCGGCCACAUUGGGACUGAGACACGGCCCAG
Molecule: ribosomal RNA, 307 nt
Filed under: uncultured bacterium
Lineage: Bacteria
Description: bacterial SSU rRNA
Rfam family: Bacterial small subunit ribosomal RNA
Source: RNAcentral